UCCCUAUUGGUCCAGUGGUUAGGACUUUUGCAGUCUUACUUUGAAGGGCCCAGGUUCAAUUCCUGGCUGGGGAA
RNAcentral lists this transfer RNA (74 nucleotides) under Bos taurus (domestic cattle). It matches the Rfam family "tRNA". From Rfam's summary of the family: Transfer RNA (tRNA) molecules are approximately 80 nucleotides in length. Their secondary structure includes four short double-helical elements and three loops (D, anti-codon, and T loops). The record is from Rfam by way of RNAcentral. Lineage: Eukaryota; Metazoa; Chordata; Mammalia; Artiodactyla; Bovidae. RNAcentral also lists the same sequence under 1 other name.